This 322-nucleotide ribosomal RNA is filed under the name uncultured eukaryote. Its description in RNAcentral is "partial 18S ribosomal RNA". It matches the Rfam family "Eukaryotic small subunit ribosomal RNA", at positions 1470 to 1796 of the family's 1831-position model. The record is from RNAcentral.
CCCUUAGAUGUUCUGGGCCGCACGCGCGCUACACUGACGAAGUCAGCGAGCAUGUCCUACGCCGACAGGUGCGGGGAAUCUUGUCAAACUUCGUCGUGAUGGGGAUUGAUUAUUGAAAUUCUUGAUCAUCAACGAGGAAUUCCUAGUAAGCGCAAGUCAGCAGCUUGCGUUGAUUACGUCCCUGCCCUUUGUACACACCGCCCGUCGCUCCUACCGAUUGAAUGUUCCGGUGAGCUCUUCGGACUGCGCGGUCUGCAGUUUCUGCGUUCCGUGCGGAAAGUUGCGCAAACCUUAACAUUUAGAGGAAGGAGAAGUCGUAACA